Molecule: transfer RNA, 88 nt
Filed under: Chitinophagaceae bacterium
Lineage: Bacteria; Pseudomonadati; Bacteroidota; Chitinophagia; Chitinophagales; Chitinophagaceae
Description: tRNA-Ser
Rfam family: tRNA
About the family: Transfer RNA (tRNA) molecules are approximately 80 nucleotides in length. Their secondary structure includes four short double-helical elements and three loops (D, anti-codon, and T loops).
Source: RNAcentral
GGAGAGAUGGCAGAGCGGUCUAUUGCGGCGGUCUUGAAAACCGUUGAAGGUCAAACUUCCGGGGGUUCGAAUCCCUCUCUCUCCGCAA